AAAAGUUUUAAGUUAAAAUUAAAACUAUUAGCCUUCAAAGUUGAAAAUAUAAGCAUUAAACUUU
RNAcentral lists this transfer RNA (64 nucleotides) under Paracarsidara gigantea. Its description in RNAcentral is "tRNA-Trp". Lineage: Eukaryota; Metazoa; Arthropoda; Insecta; Hemiptera; Carsidaridae. The record is from RNAcentral.